This 176-nucleotide ribosomal RNA is filed under the name Isophya kraussii. RNAcentral's name for it is "partial 16S ribosomal RNA". The stretch from base 1 to 104 matches the Rfam family "Bacterial large subunit ribosomal RNA", at positions 2540 to 2643 of the family's 2925-position model. Lineage: Eukaryota; Metazoa; Arthropoda; Insecta; Orthoptera; Tettigoniidae. The record is from RNAcentral.
AGGAAUAUAGUUGGAUGCAGCAGUUUAAUUAAUAGGUCUGUUCGACCUUUAAAUCCUUACAUGAUCUGAGUUCAGACCGGCGUGAGCCAGGUCGGUUUCUAUCCUUAUUGUUUAUUUAUAUUUUAGUACGAAAGGACCAAGUAUUUUAAAUAAUUUAUUUAAUUUGAUUAUUAAUA